RNAcentral lists this small RNA (223 nucleotides) under Colobus angolensis palliatus. RNAcentral's name for it is "Metazoan signal recognition particle RNA (ENSCANG00000000187.1)". The stretch from base 45 to 201 matches the Rfam family "Metazoan signal recognition particle RNA", at positions 96 to 252 of the family's 299-position model. From Rfam's summary of the family: The signal recognition particle (SRP) is a universally conserved ribonucleoprotein. Lineage: Eukaryota; Metazoa; Chordata; Mammalia; Primates; Cercopithecidae. The record is from RNAcentral.
AGGAUUGAGGGGUUGGAAGAGACCUUUAGAACAGAUAGUCAUUAUGCUGACCGGGUGUCUGCACUAAGCUUGGCAUGAAUAUGGUGACCUCCUGGGAUCAGGGGGCCACCUGGUUGCCUAAGGAUGAGUGAACUGGCCCAGAUCAGAAAGGAAGCAGUUCAGAAUUCCCACACUGACUGGUAGCAGGACUGUGCCUGGGCAAUAUAGCAAGAUCUUGGUUCUU